GACGAACGCUGGCGGCGUGCCUAAUACAUGCAAGUAGAACGCACAGUUUAUACCGUAGCUUGCUACACCAUAGACUGUGAGUUGCGAACGGGUGAGUAACGCGUAGGUAACCUGCCUGGUAGCGGGGGAUAACUAUUGGAAACGAUAGCUAAUACCGCAUAAUAUUGAUUAUUGCAUGAUAAUUAAUUGAAAGGUGCAAUUGCACCACUACCAGAUGGACCUGCGUUGUAUUAGCUAGUAGGUGAGGUAACGGCUCACCUAGGCGACGAUACAUAGCCGACCUGAGGGGGUGAUCGGCCACACUGGGACUGAGACACGGCCCAGACUCCUACGGGAGGCAGCAGUAGGGAAUCUUCGGCAAUGGACGAAAGUCUGACCGAGCAACGCCGCGUGAGUGAAGAAGGUUUUCGGAUCGUAAAGCUCUGUUGUAAGAGAAGAACGGGUGUGAGAGUGGAAAGUUCACACUGUGACGGUAUCUUACCAGAAAGGGACGGCUAACUACGUG
RNAcentral lists this ribosomal RNA (505 nucleotides) under uncultured bacterium. RNAcentral describes it as "partial 16S ribosomal RNA". It matches the Rfam family "Bacterial small subunit ribosomal RNA", at positions 28 to 507 of the family's 1533-position model. The record is from RNAcentral.